GUUACCAAGGAGUCCUAUAGUAAAUAAAUAAACCGCAAUGUCGAAAAAAAAUCAGAACGAUUUUCGAUAGUCAAACUUUUGCUAAAUUGAACUGGUUAUUUCUGAGCUUAAACCAGUUAUUGCUGGAUUACUUUUCGGAAAGUGUUAAUAAAAAAGUAUAAGAUUGAGUCAAGGACAUCAUAUAUGACACAUAAACCACGCGUCAGGAUAAUAAGUAUCUGCAAAUUGCAAACGCAGGAAGCUCAAUGGAUCUUCGAAAUCUCGUGAGACAAUUCGCAAGAACCAUACCCUCGAAACUUGUACCUGGGAAAACAUGUCGAGAAGUAAUAUGACUCAUUGAGGCCUGCAAUUGAUUGGCUACCUAUGCAAAUAUGGUUCGAGCAAUAGCAGUAAUUGCAAAUGGCACGAAGUUAUUUAUUUAGAAAUGAUGGUUCGAUCUAUCGUUUUCAGAAGAUUUUAGAGUUCUUGCACUAAUGAUCAGCACCAGAGCCAAGUUCAAUAAAUGAUCAUGUAGGGUAACGGAUAUACUUUGGCCACUAAUAAAUGUUCUGUUUCAUAAAAUUGAAGUACAAUUCUCUCGCGGUUCAUGCAUUGACAGAUUGAAGUUCUUGUAGCAUCUUCUACCGAAUUGAAAAUGUUGUAUACAAUAUUGAUAAAUAUCGAGCAGCUUCUGUCAAAUUUUCGGCUAUCACCAACACUGGAUUCAAUGAUGGAUUUUUUUAAAUUCAAUAAAUUGUUAUUAAAAAAGAA
Molecule: long non-coding RNA, 750 nt
Organism: Malaya genurostris
Lineage: Eukaryota; Metazoa; Arthropoda; Insecta; Diptera; Culicidae
Exons: 3
Source: RefSeq, a predicted model, not a curated record